Molecule: ribosomal RNA, 493 nt
Filed under: uncultured bacterium
Lineage: Bacteria
Description: partial 16S ribosomal RNA
Rfam family: Bacterial small subunit ribosomal RNA
Source: RNAcentral
GACGAACGCUGGCGGCGUGCUUAACACAUGCAAGUCGAACGGAAAGGCCUGCUUUCCCUUGUGGAUUGCGGGUACUCGAGUGGCGAACGGGUGAGUAACACGUGAGUGAUCUGCCCCCAACUUGGGUAUAAGCCUGGGAAACUGGGUCUAAUUCCCGAUAGGACUGCAGGGUGGUGCCUGUGGUGGAAAACGAUUUUCUAGUGGUUGGGGAUGAGCUCGCGGCCUAUCAGCUUGUUGGUGGGGUAAUGGCCUACCAAGGCGGCGACGGGUAGCCGGCCUGGGAGGGGGGAAGGCAAAGUGGGAACGGGGACACGCCCCAGACUCCUGCGGGGGGAGGGAGUGGGGAAUAUUGCACAAGGGGGGGAAGCCGGAAGGCGGGCCGCGGGGUGGGGGUUUACGGCUUUGGGGUUGGAAACUCCUUUGGACGGGGGGGAAGCCACCUUGUUGGAAGGGUGGGGAGGGUAGUGGUAAAAAAAGCACGGGCAAAUUCGGG